CAAAAAAUAAUUUAAUUAAAAUAAUAAUUUUGGAGAUUAUAAAUAUAUAAUUUAUUAUAUUUUUUUGA
Molecule: transfer RNA, 68 nt
Filed under: Eucera floralia
Lineage: Eukaryota; Metazoa; Arthropoda; Insecta; Hymenoptera; Apidae
Description: tRNA-Pro
Source: RNAcentral